Small nuclear RNA from Spea bombifrons (plains spadefoot toad), 116 nucleotides. RefSeq annotates it as U5 spliceosomal RNA. The record is from RefSeq and is a predicted model, not a curated record. The transcript has a single exon. NCBI's taxonomy places the organism in Eukaryota, Metazoa, Chordata, Amphibia, Anura, Pelobatidae.
AUGCUCUGGUUUCUCUUUAGACUGAGUAAAUCUUUCGCCUUUUACUAAAGAUUUCCAUGGGGGAACCUUUGUCAUUAAGGGGUUAAUCAAUUUUUGGUGACUGGUGUUUGCUGAAC